GCUGUUGAUGGCAUUAAUAAGAAGUCCAGCCCAUGCCCAUAUUACUAGUGGGUUGACAGAUAAAGGAGUGCCUUCUUUUAGUGCAUCCCCAAGGAGAAGCUUUGCUGUAAUGGAAGAAAUGCAUUAGCAGUCCUGUAACAAUAAAAGAGUG
Molecule: long non-coding RNA, 151 nt
Organism: Telopea speciosissima
Lineage: Eukaryota; Viridiplantae; Streptophyta; Magnoliopsida; Proteales; Proteaceae
Exons: 3
Source: RefSeq, a predicted model, not a curated record